AUACGGAUCAUACCAGCACUAAUGCACCGGAUACCAUCAUAACUCCGCAGAUAAGCAUGCUUGGGUGAGAGUAGUACUAGGAUGGGUGACCUCCUGGGAAUUCCUCGUGUGGCACCUC
RNAcentral lists this ribosomal RNA (118 nucleotides) under Lupinus angustifolius (narrow-leaved blue lupine). Lineage: Eukaryota; Viridiplantae; Streptophyta; Magnoliopsida; Fabales; Fabaceae. The record is from RNAcentral.